This 59-nucleotide transfer RNA is filed under the name Bacillus anthracis (anthrax bacterium). RNAcentral's name for it is "tRNA-Met". It matches the Rfam family "tRNA", at positions 9 to 63 of the family's 71-position model. Rfam says of the family: Transfer RNA (tRNA) molecules are approximately 80 nucleotides in length. RNAcentral also lists the same sequence under 5 other names. Lineage: Bacteria; Bacillati; Bacillota; Bacilli; Caryophanales; Bacillaceae. The record is from RNAcentral.
GGAGCAGCACGGUAGCUCGUCGGGCUCAUAACCCGAAGGUCGCAGGUUCAAAUCCUGUC